GAUGAAGAACGCUAGCGAAAUGCGAUACGUAGUGUGAAUUGCAGAAUUCAGUGAAUCAUCGAAUCUUUGAACGCACAUUGCACCUCUCGGUAUUCCGGGAGGUAUGCCUGUUCGAGCGUCAUUUGUACCCUCAAGCUCUGCUUGGUGUUGGGUGUUUGUUCCGCCUCUGUGUGUGAACUCGCCUCAAAACAAUUGGCAGCCGGCGUACUUGUUUCGGAGCGCAGCACAUUUUGCGAUCCAGAUCAACGUACAGCGGCAUCCAAGAAGCCUUAUUUAACGCUCUUGACCUCGGAUCAGGUAGGGAUACCCGCUGAACUUAAGCAUAUCAAUAAGCGGAGGA
Molecule: unclassified non-coding RNA, 340 nt
Filed under: soil metagenome
Description: partial contains 5.8S ribosomal RNA, internal transcribed spacer 2, and large subunit ribosomal RNA
Rfam family: 5.8S ribosomal RNA (bases 1-121)
Source: RNAcentral